Molecule: long non-coding RNA, 723 nt
Organism: Ipomoea nil (Japanese morning glory)
Lineage: Eukaryota; Viridiplantae; Streptophyta; Magnoliopsida; Solanales; Convolvulaceae
Exons: 2
Source: RefSeq, a predicted model, not a curated record
AGUUAUAGCGAUCAUAAAUUGUUGAUGGCUGUUGGCUGUUUUAGCGAUUAAAAAUAGAAAAUAAAAGCCAAAAAGCCUGAGAAAAAUAUAAAGGCAAAAAUGUAGAAUGGCAAGUUCAGUAACAGACAUAAAAGCCACUAAUAAGAGGGUAACGGUAAAUUUACCAAUAUUCUGCCUAAGAUGUAGCAUUGGCACCUACUAUACUCUACCUUGUACUCCGUAAUAAUCUUGAGUGCCAAGAGACAGUUAAUACUUAAUAGCUUAUGCUUACAAGCUAAUCUACUAUAACAGGGCAACAUCAAACAAAACAAGCUAUCCCCUCAUUAUAGUUUGCUUGCAUCUCACCAAUCACCACAAGGGCUGAGUUUAGCAGUUCACUUUUUGGUUUUGCAAUAUAGACAGCUUAAUAUUUAUGCUUAUGAGAGCAAAUCUACUUAAAUAGGGAUAAAACAAACUAAGCAAGCUUUGCCCCUUGGUAUGCAGAUGGCCGCAUCUUGCAUUCACGCCACAAGUGUUGAAUUAACAAAAAGAGUGGAGAUCUUUCCUUGUUGCUAAAUAUCAAGAAUUUAGUUGUCAGUAGUGGUGAAGAAAAAAAGACCAUCCCCCCCAAAAUCAACUUAGAGCCUAAAGAGGAGAGUUUGGUCCACAAUAAGCUGGCAAUCUGCCAAAGUAAACUUUAUAUAGUAGAAUAGAAGUUAUGCCUAUUUACUAAAGAUCAUUUUU